UACAGAGGUCCCAAGCGUUGUUCGGAUUCACUGGGCGUAAAGGGUGCGUAGGUGGUGGGGUAAGUCUGAUGUGAAAGCUUCGAGCUCAACUCGGAAAUGGCAUUGGAAACUGCCUUGCUGGAGGAUUGGAGGGGAGACUGGAAUUCUCGGUGUAGCAGUGAAAUGCGUAGAUAUCGAGAGGAACACCGGUGGCGAAGGCGAGUCUCUGGACAAUUCCUGACGCUGAGGCACGAAAGCUAGGGGAGCAAACAGG
Molecule: unclassified non-coding RNA, 253 nt
Filed under: uncultured Verrucomicrobiota bacterium
Lineage: Bacteria; Pseudomonadati; Verrucomicrobiota
Description: uncultured Verrucomicrobia bacterium contains 16S-23S intergenic spacer region
Rfam family: Bacterial small subunit ribosomal RNA
Source: RNAcentral